Molecule: long non-coding RNA, 2358 nt
Filed under: Pocillopora damicornis (cauliflower coral)
Lineage: Eukaryota; Metazoa; Cnidaria; Anthozoa; Scleractinia; Pocilloporidae
Description: uncharacterized LOC113685279, transcript variant X1
Source: RNAcentral
ACAAAGACUUAUGUGGCGAAAGACCUGAGAUAAUAAGAACCAGGAGCUAUUCAACUCUAACGGUGAAUCCUUACCACCAAAGAUGACAUUAGAAUUUUUUAUUUUUAUUUUACCGAAUUCAGUUCCCGUGUAACUCAUUUCCAAAGUUAGCAGAAUCGUCAUGUUCCUGUUUUAGGAAUUCAGCGUUCAUUAUAAAGAUGAAAUCUUGAAACUUUUGCUUAUUAAUUAAGUCGGGACAUUUCUGUCGUUGCUCAGAAAAGAUAUGCUCAGGGAAGUUUUCGUAAUCUUCACAUCGAAACACCAGUUAUGACGUCAAGAUGACGUUCAGCGUAGGAGUGAAAUUAAUGCAGGCAAAAUGUGCGGUUUUUAAUGGGGUUCUUUACCUUUGAAAUUUGCAUUAGAGAUAAUUAAACCCAAAUUGAAGGUUUUACAGCUCGGCAGGUGGAUAGAAAUGUUCUGAUGCAAAGGUGUUGCGGUGCUACGAAAUGAACAGGAACAAUGGCGGUGUUAUCGAGGCACGUACUUCAUCUUGGAUGAUAUACAAAUUGUUUAUUACAUUUGAUUAGAAGAGGAUCUGUAUGCAAUGAAGAAAUACCAAUUCUUUGAUAUAAAGGAAACAAUUUUUUAAUCCCUUCGAAUGACGCUCUUGAGAAUCCAUAGCUUGGUCAUGCUGUUUAUAGGUGACGCUAUUACCCCCUUCUCCUCCUUCACCCCAUUCCCCCCUCGGAUUUCCUCAUAACUGCCAUCCCCAAUUCCGUAUGAGAAUAUUCAACUCGCCCAAGUUAGGAUGAGGGUAUGGUAAAUUAGUGGGUUUAUUAGAACUUGUUUCAACUAUUGUUCUCAUAAUGAAUUUCAGGUGUUAUUUCAAAACUUGUUGUCUAUGCAAUAUAGUAAAAACCAAGAGAUAACAAACAGCUUAUAAUCUCUUGACCGAUGAUAAGUUGCUGUUGCUGUGUUUGAUUUAUAAGGAAAAUGGAACUGAACUAAACUAUGAAACUAAUAUAAAGUAAAGGAAUGACGGAGAAAAUAAAUUAUAGUUACCUCCUCUUGGUUCGCUUCUAAAGUAAAUGAGUGUAUAAACAAAGAAAGCAGACGAACAGCGAGUAAUUAAAACAUUGGUUGGGGAAACUCAUUCGCUUCAAGAAAAAUCUAUCCGCGAAUGCUUAUAGUCUGUAUAAAGCUCUGUAAUAAUCCAUGAAACUCUCUCCAGUAAUCACUCAUUCCUUUCCCACUUUUUGUCUGAAGGAAUUGCGAAAUGUAAAAUACAACAGCGUUUAAACUCAACUGCUUAUGUGAAGAUCCAACAGUGAUGUUGUUUAAGGACGAGACCUCAGUUGUCUUGAUUCAUCUUCAAGAGUGUUCAAUUAACUUGUUACCUUGAAUAGGAUGCAUAUAUGUCUAGAAAAGCGUAACAUUUCGGAUCUGUAUGAAGCUGCCUGAACAGGCAUUUCCAAGCACUCAUGAUGGUGUCGCGCGGGUGCACAAUAUUUUUCCCGCCCUGUUUCUAGGGCAAAAGUAACCUCAAAGAGGGAGGAGUGGGACAGUAGAAAGUCCCUGGUUUUUUUUUGUUUUGUUUUGAAUUAAUUACUAUAAAAUUUUGCCGGAGUUAGCGUAUUUUAAAAGGGGCAAUAUCCAUCCAGUUGCGUAGCUCUGAAUCAAGGAUAAAAGAAUAAGAGAACUGGGCACAUGGAGUACAAAGCUGGUCUGAGCCUGAAAUAAAGAAUAGAUCUUGUUUCUUAGAAAGUGGUCCUAGCUUUGAGCUCCCCCCCAGUCCCUCCCACACAGUUUGACCUACUCUAGGUAGCCAUGUAUUACCCCUUUACUCCAUAAAACUAAUAUUUAUGUUCUCCACACAGCUCUCUCUACAUUCCAUGUAGUAUCAACAAGAAGAGUUUGUUUGAAAAUCAGGAGUUUCUGAAUAAAAUUAGCAGUCAUUCCUCUAUCCUCAUGAGCUUUAUAUUUAAUUCAAGGGUGAUCAUGUAAGGAGAAGUUAGAUUCAAGUCAGGGGUAAUAAGGUAAAACUACACAACAUAGCAAUUCAAUCUAGCAUUUAAGUCAGAAUGCUCAUAGAAAGGAUCUGAUCCAAAUGUUCCUGAAUCUUAAAGCUACUAAAAUACCAGUUGUUAUGGCUACACCCUUCACCUUAGCAAGGUUUUGCUGACAAGUCACCACCAUAUUACUCUCAGUUAGGUGCUUAGAGGGUAUCAAGCCAGACUUAAAUGUUGAACCAAGACAUCACAUUGACCUUCUACACUUGGGAGGGACUUUCAAAAACCAACUGAAACGAGACAGAAACAAAGACAAAUUACAUUGUUGCAUAGAGCAAGGUCAAAUAGACUUCCCGCGUAAACAACAACA